Hypomesus transpacificus is the source of this 550-nucleotide non-coding RNA. The record is from the annotation of a RefSeq genome assembly. Lineage: Eukaryota; Metazoa; Chordata; Actinopteri; Osmeriformes; Osmeridae.
CCAAACUCUCCUAACUGCUUAGUCCUGGCUACCUUGCAUAGAUAUAAUCACCUCACAAUGUUUCCUACUUUUGGAAUACUCUACCUGAUGAUGUGUGUGAUAGGUAUUCAAUGUCAGACACUGACUGAGUCUGAACCAGUAGUUGUGAAGCCUGGAGAAUCCCACAAACUGACCUGUACUGCCGCUGGGUUCACAUUCAGUAGCUACUGGAUGGCUUGGAUCAGACAGGCUCCUGGGAAGGGGCUAGAGUGGAUGGCUCUUAUAAACACAGGUGGUGGCGGCACCUUUUACUCUCAGUCGGUUCAGGGUCGGUUCACCAUCUCCAGGGACAACAACAAGGACCAGGUGUACCUCCAGAUGAACAGCCUGAAGACUGAAGACUCUGCUGUUUAUUACUGUGCUCGAGAGCCACAGUGACUGAAUGUGGUUGAGCAGCUGUACAGAAACCUACUUCUCUAACUCCGGCUGUCUAACCAUGUUAAAAAAACGUUAUUAAUUUGAUUAAAUGCAAUGUUGAAAAUGCUAACAAUAAAAGACUUGAACUUGAAAA